GAUGAACGCUGGCGGCGUGCCUAAUACAUGCAAGUCGAGCGAACGGACGAGAAGCUUGCUUUUCUGAUGUUAGCGGCGGACGGGUGAGUAACACGUGGAUAACCUACCUAUAAGACUGGGAUAACUUCGGGAAACCGGAGCUAAUAUCGGAUAAUAUUUUGAACCGCAUGGUUCAAAAGUGAAAGACGGUCUUGCUGUCACUUAUAGAUGGAUCCGCGCUGCAUUAGCUAGUUGGUAAGGUAACGGCUUACCAAGGCAACGAUGCAUAGCCGACCUGAGAGGGUGAUCGGCCACACUGGAACUGAGACACGGUCCAGACUCCUACGGGAGGCAGCAGUAGGGAAUCUUCCGCAAUGGGCGAAAGCCUGACGGAGCAACGCCGCGUGAGUGAUGAAGGUCUUCGGAUCGUAAAACUCUGUUAUUAGGGAAGAACAUAUGUGUAAGUAUCUGUGCACGUCUUGACGGUACCUAAUCAGAAAGCCACGGCUAACUACGUG
RNAcentral lists this ribosomal RNA (497 nucleotides) under uncultured bacterium. RNAcentral's name for it is "partial 16S ribosomal RNA". It matches the Rfam family "Bacterial small subunit ribosomal RNA", at positions 28 to 507 of the family's 1533-position model. The record is from RNAcentral.